RNAcentral lists this ribosomal RNA (1318 nucleotides) under Leuconostoc citreum. RNAcentral's name for it is "bacterial SSU rRNA". It matches the Rfam family "Bacterial small subunit ribosomal RNA", at positions 119 to 1424 of the family's 1533-position model. The record is from RNAcentral. Lineage: Bacteria; Bacillati; Bacillota; Bacilli; Lactobacillales; Lactobacillaceae.
GGAUAACCUGCCUCAAGGCUGGGGAUAACAUUUGGAAACAGAUGCUAAUACCGAAUAAAACUUAGUAUCGCAUGAUAUCAAGUUAAAAGGCGCUACGGCGUCACCUAGAGAUGGAUCCGCGGUGCAUUAGUUAGUUGGUGGGGUAAAGGCUUACCAAGACGAUGAUGCAUAGCCGAGUUGAGAGACUGAUCGGCCACAUUGGGACUGAGACACGGCCCAAACUCCUACGGGAGGCUGCAGUAGGGAAUCUUCCACAAUGGGCGCAAGCCUGAUGGAGCAACGCCGCGUGUGUGAUGAAGGCUUUCGGGUCGUAAAGCACUGUUGUAUGGGAAGAAAUGCUAAAAUAGGGAAUGAUUUUAGUUUGACGGUACCAUACCAGAAAGGGACGGCUAAAUACGUGCCAGCAGCCGCGGUAAUACGUAUGUCCCGAGCGUUAUCCGGAUUUAUUGGGCGUAAAGCGAGCGCAGACGGUUGAUUAAGUCUGAUGUGAAAGCCCGGAGCUCAACUCCGGAAUGGCAUUGGAAACUGGUUAACUUGAGUGUUGUAGAGGUAAGUGGAACUCCAUGUGUAGCGGUGGAAUGCGUAGAUAUAUGGAAGAACACCAGUGGCGAAGGCGGCUUACUGGACAACAACUGACGUUGAGGCUCGAAAGUGUGGGUAGCAAACAGGAUUAGAUACCCUGGUAGUCCACACCGUAAACGAUGAAUACUAGGUGUUAGGAGGUUUCCGCCUCUUAGUGCCGAAGCUAACGCAUUAAGUAUUCCGCCUGGGGAGUACGACCGCAAGGUUGAAACUCAAAGGAAUUGACGGGGACCCGCACAAGCGGUGGAGCAUGUGGUUUAAUUCGAAGCAACGCGAAGAACCUUACCAGGUCUUGACAUCCUUUGAAGCUUUUAGAGAUAGAAGUGUUCUCUUCGGAGACAAAGUGACAGGUGGUGCAUGGUCGUCGUCAGCUCGUGUCGUGAGAUGUUGGGGUUAAGUCCCGCAACGAGCGCAACCCUUAUUGUUAGUUGCCAGCAUUCAGUUGGGCACUCUAGCGAGACUGCCGGUGACAAACCGGAGGAAGGCGGGGACGACGUCAGAUCAUCAUGCCCCUUAUGACCUGGGCUACACACGUGCUACAAUGGCGUAUACAACGAGUUGCCAACCUGCGAAGGUGAGCUAAUCUCUUAAAGUACGUCUCAGUUCGGACUGCAGUCUGCAACUCGACUGCACGAAGUCGGAAUCGCUAGUAAUCGCGGAUCAGCACGCCGCGGUGAAUACGUUCCCGGGUCUUGUACACACCGCCCGUCACACCAUGGGAGUUUGUAAUGCCCAA